UGGGGAAUAUUGCACAAUGGGCGCAAGCCUGAUGCAGCCAUGCCGCGUGUAUGAAGAAGGCCUUCGGGUUGUAAAGUACUUUCAGCGGGGAGGAAGGUGUUGUGGUUAAUAACCUCAGCAAUUGACGUUACCCGCAGAAGAAGCACCGGCUAACUCCGUGCCAGCAGCCGCGGUAAUACGGAGGGUGCAAGCGGUAAUCGGAAUUAGUGGGCGUAAAGCGCACGCAGGCGGUCUGUCAAGUCGGAUGUGAAAUCCCCGGGCUCAACCUGGGAACUGCAUCCGAAACUGGCAGGCUUGAGUCUUGUAGAGGGGGGUAGAAUUCCAGGUGUAGCGGUGAAAUGCGUAGAGAUCUGGAGGAAUACCGGUGGCGAAGGCGGCCCCCUGGACAAAGACUGACGCUCAGGUGCGAAAGCGUGGGGAGCAAACA
RNAcentral lists this ribosomal RNA (427 nucleotides) under uncultured bacterium. RNAcentral's name for it is "partial 16S ribosomal RNA". It matches the Rfam family "Bacterial small subunit ribosomal RNA", at positions 355 to 774 of the family's 1533-position model. The record is from RNAcentral.